RNAcentral lists this long non-coding RNA (251 nucleotides) under Mytilus galloprovincialis (Mediterranean mussel). Lineage: Eukaryota; Metazoa; Mollusca; Bivalvia; Mytilida; Mytilidae. The record is from RNAcentral.
AAAUUUGCAUCAGCAGAUAUAAGUUAUCAUCAAUUGUUAGGAACAUUAAUCUUUAUUAAGGGACAAAUCUAUCCGUCAGUGAUAAUACUAAAAUGAGCCACUUUAAUUUACUAUUUCAGAUAAAUAAUUUAGAAGUAGAGUUAUCUCCCUUAGUCAUUUGAUUUUGAAAUAAGAACUAAUUUAAGUAAAAAAGUCAUAUUAUUUGUUUUUACAAAGUAUCUUGAAUUUCUGCAACAUAAAUUUCUCUAAUA